GACGAAGGUGGCUAGCGUUGUUCGGUAUUACUGGGCUUAAAGCGUGUGUAGGCGGAAGAGUAAGCGCCUUGUGAAAUCCCUCGGCUUAACCGAGGAAUUGCUUGGCGAACUGCUUUUCUUGAGGCAAGUAGGGGUGCAUGGAACUCUUGGUGGAGCGGUGGAAUGCGUAGAUAUCAAGAGGAACGCCGGUAGUGAAAACGGUGCACUGGGCUUGUUCUGACGCUGAGACACGAAAGCGUGGGUAGCGAACGGGAUUAGAUACCGGGUA
Molecule: ribosomal RNA, 268 nt
Filed under: uncultured prokaryote
Description: partial 16S ribosomal RNA
Rfam family: Bacterial small subunit ribosomal RNA
Source: RNAcentral